UACGGAGGGGGCAAGCGUUGUUCGGAAUUACUGGGCGUAAAGCGCACGUAGGCGGCUACUCAAGUCAGAGGUGAAAGCCCGGGGCUCAACCCCGGAACUGCCUUUGAAACUAGGUAGCUAGAAUCUUGGAGAGGUCAGUGGAAUUCCGAGUGUAGAGGUGAAAUUCGUAGAUAUUCGGAAGAACACCAGUGGCGAAGGCGACUGACUGGACAAGUAUUGACGCUGAGGUGCGAAAGCGUGGGGAGCAAACAGG
This 253-nucleotide ribosomal RNA is filed under the name uncultured bacterium. Its description in RNAcentral is "partial 16S ribosomal RNA". It matches the Rfam family "Bacterial small subunit ribosomal RNA", at positions 524 to 776 of the family's 1533-position model. The record is from RNAcentral.